This 328-nucleotide ribosomal RNA is filed under the name uncultured eukaryote. Its description in RNAcentral is "partial 18S ribosomal RNA". It matches the Rfam family "Eukaryotic small subunit ribosomal RNA", at positions 1470 to 1796 of the family's 1831-position model. The record is from RNAcentral.
CCCUUAGAUGUCCUGGGCCGCACGCGCGCUACACUGAUGCAUGCAACGAGUUUAUAACCUUGGCCUGAAAGGUCUGGGUAAUCUUUUGAACGUGCAUCGUGAUAGGGAUAGAUUAUUGCAAUUGUUAAUCUUGAACGAGGAAUUCCUAGUAAACGCGAGACAUCAGCUCGCAUUGAUUACGUCCCUGCCCUUUGUACACACCGCCCGUCGCACCUACCGAUUGAAUGGUUCGGUGAAGAUCUCGGACUUCGAUAUUUAUUCUUUAUUGAGUUUAUAUUGUGGGAAGUUAUCUAAACCUCAUCAUUUAGAGGAAGGUGAAGUCGUAACA